Molecule: ribosomal RNA, 497 nt
Filed under: uncultured bacterium
Lineage: Bacteria
Description: partial 16S ribosomal RNA
Rfam family: Bacterial small subunit ribosomal RNA
Source: RNAcentral
GAUGAACGCUGGCGGCGUGCCUAAUACAUGCAAGUCGUGCGAACAGACGCGUUGCUUGCUCCACUGACGUUAGCGGCGUACGUGUGAGUUACAUGUGGUUCACCCACCUAUAAGACUGGGCUAGCUUCGUGAAACCGGUGCUAAUACCGUAUAAUUUCUUCAACCUCGUGGUUCAAUAGUUAAAGACGUUUUUGCUGUCACUUCUACAUGUAUCCGCGCCGCAUUAGCUAGUUGGUACGGUAACGGCUUACCAAGGCCACGAUGCGUAGCCGACCUGAGAGGGUGAAGGGGCACACUGGAAGUGAGACACGGUACAGACUCCUAGGGGAGGCCGCAGUAGGGAAUCUUCGGAGAAGGGCGGAAGACUGAAGGAGCAACGCAGCGUGAGUGAUGAAGGUCUGCGGAUCGUAAAACGCUGUUAGUAGGGAAGAACAAAUGUGGAAGGAACUAUGCACGUCUUGACGGUACCUAAACAGAAAGCAACGGCUAACUACGUG